AGACAAACCAGAGGUCAUUACUACACCAAACAACUCAUUUCCUGCAGCUGACACUCCUCCCAAGCUUGCAACCUGUGGUCAGCAAGGCAAGAGAGUGACAGACAUGGAGUCGGCUGUCUCCCUCACAGAGGAGAAAUCCAGUACUCAGAAGCAGUUAGCAGAAGGUCCAUCAGUACCAGCAUCAGCCAAGGACUCCUCAUUGAAGGACUAUUUAGUGCCCAGGGCUUCCAUUCGGACUAGAUCCCAGAAAUCCAGAGAGGAACAGUGUCAGCAGCAGUAGUCUGUACAAAACUAACUGAACCCCGUUGCCAGGUGUGAUGUGAAAUCGUCCAAAGAGUUUUGCCACAAGAGCAUGCACCUGUACACUUUUAGCAGUGCUUAAUCCCCCCAGUAAGAGCAAUAGAUAGAAGAUUUCCCACUAACAUGUUCCACCUAUUUGUGAUCAUAUACAUAAAUAUUCAAGUGAGGAAUGGAAUGGUUAUUCCUCUGAGAAACAUUCAGGUUUACCUGUAUGUGUGUACAGUACAACACCUGCAGCAAUAUGUUAACAUUAAGUAGUAACAGGGUUAUACAGCUUUUGCUACAUAUGUGUAACCUUCCAUGAAGAACGUACGUGUACAUGCUAAGGCUUGUAUGCCAGAUCAUAUUUUCCUCGUCAUUAUGUACCAAAGUGAUACGAUUCGCUGGUUAUCAUCCCUUCAAGGAUCCCUGUACGUCAAGUUAACCGCAAGUUUUAAUGAUUGUUUUAUAGUCUCUGGAUAAUGUCUGACCUGUUAUUACAGUAUAUGUACAUACAUGUAUUGAGCAGUAGAACACUUUUAUCAAUGUAUGGGUUUUGUGUAAGAUUUCUAAAGUUAUAGAUACUGGCUUUAAUACAGAUGUGCAAAUGUUCCAUAUACAAUAUAAUCAAAUACAACUGUCCAUCUUUGUCUUCAAGAGUGCAUUCC
Liolophura sinensis is the source of this 947-nucleotide long non-coding RNA. RefSeq lists it as uncharacterized. The transcript is spliced from 3 exons. The record is from RefSeq and is a predicted model, not a curated record. Lineage: Eukaryota; Metazoa; Mollusca; Polyplacophora; Chitonida; Chitonidae.